Molecule: ribosomal RNA, 973 nt
Filed under: Campylobacter coli
Lineage: Bacteria; Pseudomonadati; Campylobacterota; Epsilonproteobacteria; Campylobacterales; Campylobacteraceae
Also listed under: 1 other name
Description: bacterial SSU rRNA
Rfam family: Bacterial small subunit ribosomal RNA
Source: RNAcentral
GGCGUAAAGGGCGCGUAGGCGGAUUAUCAAGUCUCUUGUGAAAUCUAAUGGCUUAACCAUUAAACUGCUUGGGAAACUGAUAGUCUAGAGUGAGGGAGAGGCAGAUGGAAUUGGUGGUGUAGGGGUAAAAUCCGUAGAUAUCACCAAGAAUACCCAUUGCGAAGGCGAUCUGCUGGAACUCAACUGACGCUAAGGCGCGAAAGCGUGGGGAGCAAACAGGAUUAGAUACCCUGGUAGUCCACGCCCUAAACGAUGUACACUAGUUGUUGGGGUGCUAGUCAUCUCAGUAAUGCAGCUAACGCAUUAAGUGUACCGCCUGGGGAGUACGGUCGCAAGAUUAAAACUCAAAGGAAUAGACGGGGACCCGCACAAGCGGUGGAGCAUGUGGUUUAAUUCGAAGAUACGCGAAGAACCUUACCUGGGCUUGAUAUCCUAAGAACCUUUUAGAGAUAAGAGGGUGCUAGCUUGCUAGAACUUAGAGACAGGUGCUGCACGGCUGUCGUCAGCUCGUGUCGUGAGAUGUUGGGUUAAGUCCCGCAACGAGCGCAACCCACGUAUUUAGUUGCUAACGGUUCGGCCGAGCACUCUAAAUAGACUGCCUUCGUAAGGAGGAGGAAGGUGUGGACGACGUCAAGUCAUCAUGGCCCUUAUGCCCAGGGCGACACACGUGCUACAAUGGCAUAUACAAUGAGACGCAAUACCGCGAGGUGGAGCAAAUCUAUAAAAUAUGUCCCAGUUCGGAUUGUUCUCUGCAACUCGAGAGCAUGAAGCCGGAAUCGCUAGUAAUCGUAGAUCAGCCAUGCUACGGUGAAUACGUUCCCGGGUCUUGUACUCACCGCCCGUCACACCAUGGGAGUUGAUUUCACUCGAAGCCGGAAUACUAAACUAGUUACCGUCCACAGUGGAAUCAGCGACUGGGGUGAAGUCGUAACAAGGUAACCGUAGGAGAACCUGCGGUUGGAUCACCUCCUUU